RNAcentral lists this unclassified non-coding RNA (1115 nucleotides) under uncultured Gammaproteobacteria bacterium. RNAcentral describes it as "partial 16S-23S ribosomal RNA intergenic spacer". The stretch from base 1 to 387 matches the Rfam family "Bacterial small subunit ribosomal RNA", at positions 1149 to 1533 of the family's 1533-position model. Lineage: Bacteria; Pseudomonadati; Pseudomonadota; Gammaproteobacteria. The record is from RNAcentral.
UUGCCGGCGUUAAGCCGGAGGAAGGUGGGGACGACGUCAAGUCCUCAUGGCCCUUAUGUCCAGGGCUACACACGUGCUACAAUGGUCGGUACAGAGCGCAGCCAACCCGCGAGGGUGAGCAAAUCGCAAAGAGCCGGCCUCAGUACGGAUUGCACUCUGCAACUCGAGUGCAUGAAGGCGGAAUCGCUAGUAAUCGCUGAUCAGCAGGCAGCGGUGAAUACGUUCCCGGGCCUUGUACACACCGCCCGUCACACCAUGGGAGUUGAUUGCUCCAGAAGUGGCUGAGCUAACCCGCAAGGGAAGCAGGUCCCCAAGGAGUGGUUGAUAACUGGGGUGAAGUCGUAACAAGGUAGCCGUAGGGGAACCUGCGGCUGGAUCACCUCCUUUCUACGGAGCACGUCCGGUGAGUAACAGCUCUCUUUUGAGCUGUUUUACUUCACCAACGCUUCGGUCAAACCCUCGGUACUGGCACUGCCAAGGCAGUGCGUCGUCAGGAUUCCGGCUCAGUUUUCAGGGACUGUAAACCCUGAAAACCGUGAGCUUUUUGGUGGCUGCACUGGGCCUGUAGCUCAGGUGGUUAGAGCGCACCCCUGAUAAGGGUGAGGUCGCUAGUUCGAGUCUAGCCAGGCCCACCCGGAGUCGAGUUCAUCUCGGCACAGGAACCCUUUCGGGGGUAACGCGAUAACCGUGGUCACCAAAGCUCGUUUGAAAUUAGAUAAGAGAAGAGCAAUAGCGUUCCAAGUAGCGCUCGANAGAAACGGGGUAUGCAUCCUCGGUUCACUUCAUGUGAUCCCGUGUUGUUGCUUUGAAACCCUGUUUUUCGAGAGUCGAGCCGUUGUCUUNAGGGAUNAGGUCAAGCUACUUAAGGGGCGUUACGGNUGGAAUGCCUUUGGCAAANGGNCNAAUUUCUGUCAAANUAUCCCUUCACNACUGGGCGGCCCGCUUCNANCAUGCCAUNUUAAUANGGNCCCNAAAUUCNCCCCUUNAUANUGGANGUCNNNAUUANAAAUUUCANUGGGCCGUCGUUUUUACAACCGUCCUGGANUGGGGAAAAACCCCUGGCNGUUUCCCCAAACUUANUUGNCUUUNUNAAAAANANUCCCCCUUUUCCCCAA